UACGAAGGGUGCAAGCGUUGUUCGGAAUCACUGGGCGUAAAGAAUGCGUAGGCGGCUUAAUAAGUCGGAAGUGAAAUCCCAGGGCUUAACCCUGGAACUGCUUUCGAAACUAUUUUGCUAGAGUCCCGGAGGGGUUAGCGGAAUUCCGAGUGUAGAGGUGAAAUUCGCAGAUAUUCGGAGGAACACCAGUGGCGAAGGCGGCUAACUGGACGGGAACUGACGCUGAGGCAUGAAAGUGUGGGGAUCAAACAGGAUUAGAUACCCUGGUAGUCCACACCGUAAACGAUGUGUGCUAGUUGUCAGGCAGCUUUGCUGUUUGGUGACGGAGCUAACGUUUUAAGCACACCGCCUGGGAAGUACGGCCGCAAGGUUAAA
Molecule: ribosomal RNA, 375 nt
Filed under: uncultured bacterium
Lineage: Bacteria
Description: bacterial SSU rRNA
Rfam family: Bacterial small subunit ribosomal RNA
Source: RNAcentral